RNAcentral lists this transfer RNA (70 nucleotides) under Locustella castanea (Chestnut-backed bush-warbler). RNAcentral describes it as "tRNA-Val". It matches the Rfam family "tRNA". Rfam says of the family: Transfer RNA (tRNA) molecules are approximately 80 nucleotides in length. Their secondary structure includes four short double-helical elements and three loops (D, anti-codon, and T loops). Further hydrogen bonds mediate the characteristic L-shaped molecular structure. tRNAs have two regions of fundamental functional importance: the anti-codon, which is responsible for specific mRNA codon recognition, and the 3' end, to which the tRNAs corresponding amino acid is attached (by aminoacyl-tRNA synthetases). tRNAs cope with the degeneracy of the genetic code in two manners: having more than one tRNA (with a specific anti-codon) for a particular amino acid; and 'wobble' base-pairing, i.e. permitting non-standard base-pairing at the 3rd anti-codon position. The record is from RNAcentral. Lineage: Eukaryota; Metazoa; Chordata; Aves; Passeriformes; Locustellidae.
CAAGACGUAGCUAAAGACAAAGCAUUCAGCUUACGCCUGAAAGAUAUCUGCUCACCCCAGAUCGUCUUGA